UCGAGAAUCUUCCGCAAUGGACGAAAGUCUGACGGAGCGAUGCCGCGUGCGGGAUGAAGGCCCUUGGGUUGUAAACCGCUGUCAGAGGGGAUGAAAUCUCCGGAGGUUCUCCUCCGGAGUUGACAGAGCCUCAGAGGAAGCACGGGCUAAGUAUGUGCCAGCAGCCGCGGUAAUACAUACUGUGCGAACGUUAUUCGGAAUCACUGGGCUUAAAGGGUGCGUAGGCGGCGAUUCAAGUCAGAUGUGAAAUGCCUGAGCUCAACUGAGGCAUUGCGUUUGAAACUGGAUUGCUGGAGUGUCCCAGGGGUGUGCGGAACUGCCAGUGGAGCGGUGAAAUGUGUUGAUAUUGGCAGGAACACCGGAGGCGAAAGCGGCACACUGGGGGAUAACUGACGCUGAGGCACGAAAGCCAGGGGAGCGAACGGG
This 426-nucleotide ribosomal RNA is filed under the name uncultured bacterium. RNAcentral's name for it is "bacterial SSU rRNA". It matches the Rfam family "Bacterial small subunit ribosomal RNA", at positions 355 to 776 of the family's 1533-position model. The record is from RNAcentral.